AGUGAAGCGGCAAGAGCUCAAAUUUGAAAUCUGGCCCCUCCGGGGUCCGAGUUGUAAUUUGCAGAGGAUGCUUCGGGUGCGGCCCCCGUCUAAGUGCCCUGGAACGGGCCGUCAGAGAGGGUGAGAAUCCCGUCUUGGGCGGGGUGUCCGUGCCCGUGUGAAGCUCCUUCGACGAGUCGAGUUGUUUGGGAAUGCAGCUCUAAAUGGGUGGUAAAUUUCAUCUAAAGCUAAAUACUGGCCGGAGACCGAUAGCGCACAAGUAGAGUGAUCGAAAGAUGAAAAGCACUUUGAAAAGAGAGUUAAACAGCACGUGAAAUUGUUGAAAGGGAAGCGCUUGCGACCAGACUCGCUCGCGGGGUUCAGCCGGCAUUCGUGCCGGUGUACUUCCCCGCGGGCGGGCCAGCGUCGGUUUGGGCGGUCGGUCAAAGGCCUCCGGAAUGUAUCACCCUCCGGGGUGCCUUAUAGCCGGGGGUGCAAUGCGGCCAGCCCAGACCGAGGAACGCGCUUCGGCACGGACGCUGGCAUAAUGGUCGUAAACGACCCGUCUUGAAACACGGACCAAGGAGUCUAACAUCUACGCGAGUGUUCGGGUGUCAAACCCGUACGCGCAGUGAAAGCGAACGGAGGUGGGAGCCUUUCGGGGCGCACCAUCGACCGAUCCUGAUGUCUUCGGAUGGAUUUGAGUAAGAGCGUAAAUGUGGGGACCCGAAAGAUGGUGAACUAUGCCUGAAUAGGGUGAAGCCAGAGGAAACUCUGGUGGAGGCUCGCAGCGGUUCUGACGUGCAAAUCGAUCGUCAAAUUUGGGUAUAGGGGCGAAAGACUAAUCGAACCAUCUGGUAGCUGGUUCCUGCCGAA
This 855-nucleotide ribosomal RNA is filed under the name Aspergillus biplanus. RNAcentral describes it as "LSU rRNA". It matches the Rfam family "Eukaryotic large subunit ribosomal RNA", at positions 92 to 965 of the family's 3401-position model. The record is from RNAcentral. Lineage: Eukaryota; Fungi; Ascomycota; Eurotiomycetes; Eurotiales; Aspergillaceae.